RNAcentral lists this ribosomal RNA (484 nucleotides) under uncultured bacterium. RNAcentral describes it as "partial 16S ribosomal RNA". It matches the Rfam family "Bacterial small subunit ribosomal RNA", at positions 28 to 523 of the family's 1533-position model. The record is from RNAcentral.
GACGAACGCUGGCGGCGUGCUUAACACAUGCAAGUCGAACGAUGGAGCCGGAGCUUGCUCUGGUGAAUUAGUGGCGAACGGGUGAGUAACACGUGAGUAACCUGCCCUUGACUCUGGGAUAACUGCUAGAAAUGGUAGCUAAUACCGGAUACGACCCUCGGAGGCAUCUCCAGGGGGUGGAAAGAAUUUCGGGCAAGGAUGGACUCGCGGCCUAUCAGCUAGGUGGUGAGGUAAUGGCUCACCAAGGCGACGACGGGUAGCCGGCGUGGGAGGGUGCCCGGCCACACUGGGACUGAGACACGGCCCAGACUCCUACGGGAGGCAGCAGUGGGGAAUAUUGCACAAUGGGCGCAAGCCUGAUGCAGCAACGCCGCGUGAGGGAUGACGGCCUUCGGGUUGUAAACCUCUUUUAGUAGGGAAGAAGCGAAAGUGACGGUACCUGCAGAAAAAGCACCGGCUAACUACGUGCCAGCAGCCGCAGUAA